RNAcentral lists this ribosomal RNA (1395 nucleotides) under uncultured bacterium. RNAcentral describes it as "16S ribosomal RNA". It matches the Rfam family "Bacterial small subunit ribosomal RNA". The record is from RNAcentral.
AGAGUUUGAUCCUGGCUCAGGAUGAACGCUAGCUACAGGCUUAACACAUGCAAGUCGAGGGGCAGCAUCAUCAAAGCUUGCUUUGAUGGAUGGCGACCGGCGCACGGGUGAGUAACACGUAUCCAACCUGCCGACAACACUGGGAUAGCCUUUCGAAAGAAAGAUUAAUACCGGAUGGCAUAGUUUUCCCGCAUGGGAUAAUUAUUAAAGAAUUUCGGUUGUCGAUGGGGAUGCGUUCCAUUAGGCAGUUGGCGGGGUAACGGCCCACCAAACCAACGAUGGAUAGGGGUUCUGAGAGGAAGGUCCCCCACAUUGGAACUGAGACACGGUCCAAACUCCUACGGGAGGCAGCAGUGAGGAAUAUUGGUCAAUGGACGAGAGUCUGAACCAGCCAAGUAGCGUGAAGGAUGACUGCCCUAUGGGUUGUAAACUUCUUUUAUACGGGAAUAAAGUGAGCCACGUGUGGCUUUUUGUAUGUACCGUAUGAAUAAGGAUCGGCUAACUCCGUGCCAGCAGCCGCGGUAAUACGGAGGAUCCGAGCGUUAUCCGGAUUUAUUGGGUUUAAAGGGAGCGUAGGCGGGUUGUUAAGUCAGUUGUGAAAGUUUGCGGCUCAACCGUAAAAUUGCAGUUGAUACUGGCGACCUUGAGUGCAACAGAGGUAGGCGGAAUUCGUGGUGUAGCGGUGAAAUGCUUAGAUAUCACGAAGAACUCCGAUUGCGAAGGCAGCUUACUGGAUUGUAACUGACGCUGAUGCUCGAAAGUGUGGGUAUCAAACAGGAUUAGAUACCCUGGUAGUCCACACAGUAAACGAUGAAUACUCGCUGUUGGCGAUAUACAGUCAGCGGCCAAGCGAAAGCAUUAAGUAUUCCACCUGGGGAGUACGCCGGCAACGGUGAAACUCAAAGGAAUUGACGGGGGCCCGCACAAGCGGAGGAACAUGUGGUUUAAUUCGAUGAUACGCGAGGAACCUUACCCGGGCUUAAAUUGCAACUGACGGAAUCGGAAACGGUUCUUUCUUCGGACAGUUGUGAAGGUGCUGCAUGGUUGUCGUCAGCUCGUGCCGUGAGGUGUCGGCUUAAGUGCCAUAACGAGCGCAACCCUUAUCGAUAGUUACUAGCAGGUCAUGCUGAGGACUCUAUUGAGACUGCCGUCGUAAGACGUGAGGAAGGUGGGGAUGACGUCAAAUCAGCACGGCCCUUACGUCCGGGGCUACACACGUGUUACAAUGGGGGGUACAGAAGGCAGCUACACGGCGACGUGGUGCUAAUCCCAAAAGCCUCUCUCAGUUCGGAUUGGAGUCUGCAACCCGACUCCAUGAAGCUGGAUUCGCUAGUAAUCGCGCAUCAGCCACGGCGCGGUGAAUACGUUCCCGGGCCUUGCACACACCGCUCGUCA